UACGUAGGUGGCGAGCGUUGUCCGGAAUUACUGGGUGUAAAGCGCGUGUAGGCGGCAGGCCAAGUCGGUGGUGAAAGCGCCCGGCUCAACUGGGCGAGGUCCAUGGAAACUGGUCAGCUGGAGGACGGUAGAGGCGAGUGGAAUUCCCGGUGUAGUGGUGAAAUGCGCAGAUAUCGGGAAGAACACCUAUGGCGAAGGCAGCUCUCUGGGACGGUACUGACGCUGAGACGCGAAAGCGUGGGGAGCGAACAGG
RNAcentral lists this ribosomal RNA (253 nucleotides) under uncultured bacterium. RNAcentral's name for it is "partial 16S ribosomal RNA". It matches the Rfam family "Bacterial small subunit ribosomal RNA", at positions 524 to 776 of the family's 1533-position model. The record is from RNAcentral.